Molecule: ribosomal RNA, 495 nt
Filed under: uncultured bacterium
Lineage: Bacteria
Description: partial 16S ribosomal RNA
Rfam family: Bacterial small subunit ribosomal RNA
Source: RNAcentral
GACGAACGCUGGCGGCGUGCCUAAUACAUGCAAGUAGAACGCUGAAGGAGGAGCUUGCUCUUCUGGAUGAGUUGCGAACGGGUGAGUAACGCGUAGGUAACCUGCCUGGUAGCGGGGGAUAACUAUUGGAAACGAUAGCUAAUACCGCAUAACAGUAGAUGUUGCAUGACAUUUGCUUAAAAGGUGCAAUUGCAUCACUACCAGAUGGACCUGCGUUGUAUUAGCUAGUUGGUGGGGUAACGGCUCACCAAGGCGUCGAUACAUAGCCGACCUGAGAGGGUGAUCGGCCACACUGGGACUGAGACACGGCCCAGACUCCUGCGGGAGGCAGAAGUAGGGAAUCUUCGGCAAUGGACGGAAGUCUGACCGAGCAACGCCGCGUGAGUGAAGAAGGUUUUCGGAUCGUAAAGCUCUGUUGUAAGAGAAGAACGAGUGUGAGAGUGGAAAGUUCACACUGUGACGGUAUCUUACCAGAAAGGGACGGCUAACUACGUG